UACGGGGGGGGCAAGCGUUGUCCGGAAUCACUGGGCGUAAAGGGCGCGUAGGCGGCCUGGUAAGUCCGCUGUGAAAGUCGGGGGCUCAACCCUCGGAUGCCGGUGGAUACUGUCGGGCUUGAGUACGGAAGAGGCGAGUGGAAUUCCUGGUGUAGCGGUGAAAUGCGCAGAUAUCAGGAGGAACACCAAUUGCGAAGGCAGCUCGCUGGGACGUUACUGACGCUGAGACGCGAAAGCGUGGGGAGCAAACAGG
Molecule: ribosomal RNA, 253 nt
Filed under: uncultured bacterium
Lineage: Bacteria
Description: partial 16S ribosomal RNA
Rfam family: Bacterial small subunit ribosomal RNA
Source: RNAcentral